CAAAUGCGAUACGCAAUGCGAAUUGCAGAAUUCCGCGAGUCAUCAGAUCUUUGAACGCAAAUGGCGCUGGGUUAACCAAUACCCCAGCAUGUUUGUUUCAGUGUGUUAGGAAUUCAUAAAUCUUAGUGCGGUUGAGAUUAUUUUUUAAAUAUUACUCUCCCGUUAAACAAGAAAAGUGCUGAAUCGUUUCAGUGCCGACCGAAGUAGUCACUUCUUUAGCAAGUGAUCUCGGUUGUUUGCAAUACUGAAGAUUCACUUAAAGUGCUUUCAAAAAAAAAAAAUUUAAUUCUCCACUCAACACCUGAAAUCAAGCAAGAUCACCCGCUGAACUUAA
This 334-nucleotide unclassified non-coding RNA is filed under the name uncultured fungus. RNAcentral describes it as "sequence contains ITS1". The stretch from base 1 to 106 matches the Rfam family "5.8S ribosomal RNA", at positions 50 to 154 of the family's 154-position model. Lineage: Eukaryota; Fungi. The record is from RNAcentral.